CUUUAUGGAUUAAAGUUACUUUAGGGAAAACAGGCUAAAAGAUAGCAAUAGUCCAAAUAUAACUGUUAAUUAUGGUACCUCGAUGUCGGCUUUAUUUAUCCUUCUUCUGUAGUUUAAGAAAGGGUCUGUUUGUUCACUAAUUGAAAAGUUACAUGAGCUGGGUUUAAAUCGUUAAAGACA
This 180-nucleotide ribosomal RNA is filed under the name Foraminifera environmental sample. Its description in RNAcentral is "partial Bacterial large subunit ribosomal RNA". It matches the Rfam family "Bacterial large subunit ribosomal RNA", at positions 2448 to 2628 of the family's 2925-position model. Lineage: Eukaryota; Foraminifera. The record is from RNAcentral.